Molecule: small nuclear RNA, 307 nt
Filed under: Microtus ochrogaster (prairie vole)
Lineage: Eukaryota; Metazoa; Chordata; Mammalia; Rodentia; Cricetidae
Description: 7SK RNA (ENSMOCG00000010200.1)
Rfam family: 7SK RNA
About the family: 7SK was discovered as an abundant small nuclear RNA in the mid-70s but a possible function has only recently been suggested.
Source: RNAcentral
GGAUGUGAGGGUGAUCUGGCUGCAACAUCUGUCACCCCGUUGAUCACCAGGGUUGAUUCGGCUGACCUGGCUGGCUAGACGGAUGUCCCCUUCCUCCCUCACCGCUCCAUGUGUGUCCCUCUGGAAGCUGCAUGCUAGGACGAAGAGGACAACCUUCUCGGAAGAGAGGAGGACGAGUCUUUAGGUCAAGGGUAUAUGAGUAGCUGUGCUCCCCUGUUAGAACCCCCAAACAAGCUCUCAAAACCAGGCUAAGUCAGCUCUUAGCUCCUGUCCUUAGUCUUGGCUACCAUAUAGCCUUAGACCAGAG